GUUAGGUAACCUCAGGCACAUUCGAGCGUAAAUAUUAAGCGAGAAAGUCUAGUGGAACGAUGCAGGGUUCAUUGGGUUUGUUUACAAAAAUUCAAGCAUCCGGUUAAGAAGACGACAAAUAAGAAUGGUAUUAAGUUGUUAGAAUGGAACUCCUUCCUGAUUCCUGCACAUGUAAGUUACCAGAUACUCUUGAGGGACCAAUUUAAGGGCAAACAGACAAACAUUUUGAUGCAAAGAAAGCAUUGGAUUUGAAAGUUCCCAUGGAGAAGAAAAAUGGAGAGAUUCUAAAAGUAUGAAGAUACUCCUGUGUAUAAUGAGGAAAUCUUGUCAGUGAAUGUUGUUGCAAUUGUGGACCAGGCCAGAGUUGUACUAAACCAACUAAGACACAAUGAGAUACAGGAAUGACACAAUGAGAAACAGGAAACAGGAAAGUGAUGACUGAUCGCCACCUGUUACAAAUUCAUCUAGAAAACUCCCCACAUCCAACAAGAGACAGUCUGACUUCAAAAUCUUCAUUGAAGGCAACUUAAUGGACAAGACAUCCGUCACAUAAAGAUUCACUAAAAUUGGAAUGAUAUACCAAUUUUAACUUUUAACAGACAAAUACAUUAUAGAUUUGAAAAUAUAUUACCCUUAAAUAAGUUGGAUGAUUAACAUUUACCUCAACACAGUACAAAGUGCUCAUGUUGAACUAUUGUGAUUGAUCAUAGUCUGUCCUUCAUUUUUAUUAACAGUUUCAUACAGUGUUAACACUUUAGUAUGGGGACUCAUUUUUAGCUCAACUUUUCGAAGAAUAUGGAGAGCUAUACUACUCACCCAAGCGUCCGCGUCGGCGUCACCCCUUGGUUAAGGGUUUGCGUGCAAGCACACAUAGGUUAAUAUCUCAGCAACUACUUGAGGUAUUGCAUUGAGACUUUAUACAAUGGUACUCAACCAUCCAACCUACUUAAUUAACCAAGUUUGAUAACUCUACUUUGCAUUUAAUGCCAAUAAUAGGCCUUUAAUAUUUGACUUAGAAAUUCUGGUUAAGGUUUUGCAUGCAAGCACACAUAGGUUAAUAUCUCAGAAACUACUUGAGGUAUUGCAUUGAGACUUGAUACAAUGGUACUCAACCAUCCAACCUACUUAUUUAAACAAGUAAGAUAACUCUAGUUUGCAUUUAAUGUAAAUAAUAGGCCUUUAUUAUUUGACUUAGAAAUUCUGGUUAAGGUUUUGCAUGCAAGCACACAUAGGUUAAUAUCUCAGCAACUGCUUGAGGUAUUGCAUUGAGACUUGAUACAAUGGUACUCAACCAUCCAACCUACUUAUUUAAACAAGUAAGAUAACUCUAGUUUGCUUUUAAUGUAAAUAAUAGGCCUUUAUUAUUUGACUUAGAAAUUCUGGUUAAGGUUUUGCAUGCAAGCACACAUAGGUUAAUAUCUCAGCAACUGCUUGAGGUAUUGCAUUGAGACUUGAUACAAUGGUACUCAACCAUCCAACCUACUUAAUUUUCCAAGUUAUAUAACUAUAGUUUGCAUUUAAUGCAAAUACUUGCGUUUAUUAUUUCACUCAGAAAUUCUGGUUAAGGUUUUGCAUGUAAGCACACAUAGGUUAAUAUCUCAGCAACUACUGGAUGAAUUGCAUUGAGACUUUAUACAACCACCCAACCUAAUUGAAUAAUCAAGUUAGAUAAAAAUUCUGGUUAAAAUUUUGCAUGUAACUACAUUUAUGUUAAUAUCUCCGCACAUCAUGUAUUGCAUUGAAAUCUAAUCUAACAGUGAUCCAUGCAUGUUUCGCCAAAACUUCUUAAUCCUUACACUGAAAAGCAGCGGAAUAGUCGAGAGCGCUGUCUCUGUGACAGCUCUUGUCUCUUUGGUCUUUAUUCAUACUGGCCAGAAUAUGUUUACCAAAAAAAUCUUAGUAUAGAUUGAUAACUGUUCAGGUUGGACAAAAAGCAUGUAGGUUGUUUGUUCUAAUAAUAUAAACUGUAAAUGCUUCAGAAACUAUAUAUAUAAUUUUCAUGAUAUUUGUCAGUAUUUAUUCUCGUCAACAUUUAAAUAAUAUUAGGUGAAACUUGUUUAUUGGUCAAAAUGUGUUUGAUUAGAGUGGCCUCAAGUUCCACUUUAUAUGAAUGAAAUUUGGUCAAGUUUUAGAAAAAAACUAUGUUCUAGUUUUAUAGGCCAUAUUCUCUUCCCAAGCUUUCCUUAAAGAAUGAAUGUAGGUAAUAUGAAACAGGAGUCACUAAGUCAAGAAUUAACAACCUUAAAAAUUGCUAUUCAUAGAGGUAUUGUUUCCUCAUCAUAAAUCACAACUUAGCCAGCAAGACUUUUCAACAAAUAAGGCAUAACAUGUAAAAAGUUAAUAAUUAGGCACAUAUUUUAGUGAAUAAAAUCUUGUGAACAUAUUAUUGAAACAAAUAAUGUGUCUGGUUCUGAGGUGAGCUAUAAAGCACAUUGCCUAGUAACAAUUGAGCUAGCUCAUUAUUAAAAGUUUGUUUUAAACUUGAUUUAAAUGAAUGCAAAUCAUAUAUUAUUAUUUUUAAUCUAUAUUUUUUUUUUAGUUACCUUGUUCUGUUGUUAAUUUCCAUACUGACUUGGUCAAUUAUGGCUAAUUGUCUAACUAUAUUUUAACUUCUAACCUAAAUGUUUCAUUGUACUUUUGAGUGUUCUGUUAACUAUAUUGCACAUUACCCUAUAUGACAGUAUAAAUUCAAUAAAACCAUGGUUAUUAAGUUCCAUACAUAUUGGAGCACAUGGUAAGCCUCUAGAAAUGUCACUUCUUAAACCUAGAUUCUUGAUCUGUUCGCCACAUUGUUUUGUUAAUUUUUUGUUUAUAAAAACAAAUGAUUGUUUAAUGUCAAGGAAACCUUUUUAAAGUUAAAAUGUAGAUGUACAUAGAUAACUGUCAAAUAUUAUUUACCAUUUAAUAACUGUCUAAAGGCAAAAUUUCCAUUCAUUUUUAUAUUUGAUUUGGGUCCCUAGGGUCAUGGUCACUGUAACUAAAAAUAGAAAAAUGCUUGGUACUGAAUAACUUCAGUUUUAAUACAUUUAAAACUGAAUCUCACAAUCAAGGCUGAAGUUCUUGUUGCAUUGCAGCAUUUCUAGUUAACUUUUUAAUUUGACUCUUUUUAUUGCUUUCGACAGGCACAUAUUACAUCAUUAUUGUAUUCAUUUUGAAGACAAAGCCUCAUUUAAUUGAGCGUGCUGUCCAAAGACAGCUCUUGUUGACAUAAUUAUAAGACACCUUAUGUUAUGGUUUAUAUGAACAAUAGCUGUUUCUGUGUAUGUUUUAGAAGAAACUUCCAUUUCUUAUCAUAUUGAUGGACAUAGAUAUACAUACAUGUACGGAAUUAUUGACAUCAGAUUCUUAGGAUUAAAUUUACUAAUGUUCUGUUCAUGUUCAAAAUAGAUACAGUUAUGGUAAAUG
Molecule: long non-coding RNA, 3405 nt
Organism: Mya arenaria
Lineage: Eukaryota; Metazoa; Mollusca; Bivalvia; Myida; Myidae
Exons: 6
Source: RefSeq, a predicted model, not a curated record